CAGCAGCCGCGGGAAUACGAAGGGUGCAAGCGUUAAUCGGAAUUACUGGGCGUAAAGCGUGCGCAGGCGGUUGUGUAAGACAGGUGUGAAAUCCCCGGGCUUAACCUGGGAACUGCAUUCAAAACUGACAGACUAGAGUAUGGUAGAGGGUGGUGGAAUUUCCCGUGUAGCGGUGAAAUGCGUAGAUAUAGGAAGGAACACCAGUAGCGAAGGCGACCACCUGGACUAAUACUGACACUGAGGUGCGAAAGCGUGGGGAGCAAACAGGAUUAGAGACCCCCGUAGUCCCUGUCUCUUAUAC
Molecule: ribosomal RNA, 301 nt
Filed under: uncultured bacterium
Lineage: Bacteria
Description: partial 16S ribosomal RNA
Rfam family: Bacterial small subunit ribosomal RNA
Source: RNAcentral